UGGAGCAAUCCAUGAGUAGAGUGGCAAACGGGUGAGUAACACGUGGGUGACCUGCCUUCGAGCGGGGGAUAACGUCCCGAAAGGGACGCUAAUACCGCAUAACAUCCUGCCUUUUAAGAGGUGGAGAUCAAAGCCGGGGAUCGCAAGACCUGGCACUUGAAGAGGGGCCCGCGCCUGAUUAGCUAGUUGGUGGGGUAAUGGCUCACCAAGGCAACGAUCAGUAUCCGGCCUGAGAGGGCGGACGGACACACUGGGACUGAGACACGGCCCAGACUCCUACGGGAGGCAGCAGUGGGGAAUUGUUCGCAAUGGGCGCAAGCCUGACGACGCAACGCCGCGUGGAGGAUGAAGACCUUCGGGUCGUAAACUCCUUUCGAUCGAGACGAAUGGUUUCCGGGUGAACAAUCCGGAGAAAUGACGGUACCGAGAGAAGAAGCCCCGGCUAACUCCGUGCCAGCAGCCGCGGUAAUACGGGGGGGGCAAGCGUUGUUCGGAAUUACUGGGCGUAAAGGGCUCGUAGGUGGCCAACUAAGUCAGACGUGAAAUCCCUCAGCUUAACUGGGGAACUGCGUCUGAUACUGGAUGGCUUGAGUUUGGGAGAGGGAUGCGGAAUUCCAGGUGUAGCGGUGAAAUGCGUAGAUAUCUGGAGGAACACCGGUGGCGAAGGCGGCAUCCUGGACCAAUACUGACACUGAGGAGCGAAAGCCAGGGGAGCAAACGGGAUUAGAUACCCCGGUAGUCCUGGCCCUAAACGAUGAAUGCUUGGUGUGGCGGGUAUCGAUCCCUGCCGUGCCGAAGCUAACGCAUUAAGCA
Molecule: ribosomal RNA, 813 nt
Filed under: uncultured Pseudomonadota bacterium
Lineage: Bacteria; Pseudomonadati; Pseudomonadota
Description: bacterial SSU rRNA
Rfam family: Bacterial small subunit ribosomal RNA
Source: RNAcentral